This 497-nucleotide ribosomal RNA is filed under the name uncultured bacterium. RNAcentral's name for it is "partial 16S ribosomal RNA". It matches the Rfam family "Bacterial small subunit ribosomal RNA", at positions 28 to 507 of the family's 1533-position model. The record is from RNAcentral.
GAUGAACGCUGGCGGCGUGCCUAAUACAUGCAAGUCGAGCGAACAGACGAGGAGCUUGCUCCUCUGACGUUAGCGGCGGACGGGUGAGUAACACGUGGCUAACCUACCUAUAUGACUGGGAUAACUUCGGGAAACCGGAGCUAAUACCGGAUAAUAUAUUCAACCGAAUGGUUCAAUAGUGAAAGACGGUUUUGCUGUCACUUAUAGAUGGUUCCGCGCCGCAUUAGCUAGUUGGUAAGGUAACGGCUUACAAAGGCAACGAUGCGUAGCCAACAAGAGAGAGUGAGGGACCCGACUGGAGCGGAGACACGGUCCAGACGCCUACGAGAGGCAGCAGUAGGGAAUCUUCCGCGAUGGGCGAAAGCCUAACGGAGCAACGCCGCGUGAGUGAUGAAGGUCUUCGGAUCGUAAAACUCUGUUAUUAGGGAAGAACAAAUGUGUAAGUAACUAUGCACGUCUUGACGGUACCUAAUCAGAAAGCCACGGCUAACUACGUG